GCGGGAAUAGCUCAGUUGGUAGAGCACAACCUUGCCAAGGUUGGGGUCGCGGGUCCGAGUCCCGUUUCCCGCUCCA
This 76-nucleotide transfer RNA is filed under the name Candidatus Schekmanbacteria bacterium RBG_13_48_7. Its description in RNAcentral is "tRNA-Gly". It matches the Rfam family "tRNA". Rfam says of the family: Transfer RNA (tRNA) molecules are approximately 80 nucleotides in length. Their secondary structure includes four short double-helical elements and three loops (D, anti-codon, and T loops). Lineage: Bacteria; Candidatus Schekmaniibacteriota. RNAcentral also lists the same sequence under 3 other names. The record is from RNAcentral.